This 254-nucleotide ribosomal RNA is filed under the name uncultured bacterium. RNAcentral's name for it is "partial 16S ribosomal RNA". It matches the Rfam family "Bacterial small subunit ribosomal RNA", at positions 524 to 776 of the family's 1533-position model. The record is from RNAcentral.
UACAGAGGUCACAAGCGUUAUCCGGAUUUAUUGGGCGUAAAGCGUUUCGUAGGUGGGUUCAUAAGUUAUCCUUUAAAGACUACGGCUCAACCGGAGGAAGGGGGAUAAUACUGUGAGUCUUGAUUUUUGGCGGGGCAUCUGGAACUGAUGGUGUAGUAGUGAAAUACGUUGAUAUCAUCAGGAACUCCAAGGGCGAAGGCAGGAUGCUAGCCAAUUAAUGACACUGAGGAACGACAGCUAGGGGAGCGAAUGGG